UGCCAUGCUUUUCCACAGCUUUCUUGAACUUCUCUCCACUUUUUUUCUUCAUAAUUUUGCCUGCUGCAGCUUGCUUUGCUUUGGUGCAGGAGAGCAGCAAUAUAGCUUGAAAAUAUUGCAUAGAAGUUCAAGAAAGCUGUGGGAUAAUAUGGCAA
This 155-nucleotide microRNA precursor is filed under the name Corchorus olitorius. Its description in RNAcentral is "MIR396 microRNA precursor family". It matches the Rfam family "MIR396 microRNA precursor family". The record is from Rfam by way of RNAcentral. Lineage: Eukaryota; Viridiplantae; Streptophyta; Magnoliopsida; Malvales; Malvaceae.